Molecule: ribosomal RNA, 457 nt
Filed under: uncultured Ochromonas
Lineage: Eukaryota; Chrysophyceae; Chromulinales; Chromulinaceae
Description: bacterial SSU rRNA
Rfam family: Bacterial small subunit ribosomal RNA
Source: RNAcentral
GUAAUUUUUAGUGGCGAACGGGUGCGUAAUACAUGAGAAUUUGCCUUUAGGUAGAGGAUAACAAUUAGAAAUAAUUACUAAAACUCUAUAAAGUUGUAAAACAAAAAAAGAAAUUUGCCUAAAGAGAAGCUCAUGCCUGAUUAGCUAGUUGGUUAGGUAAAAGCUUACCAAGGCGACGAUCAGUAGUUGAUCUGAGAGGAUGAUCAGCCACAUUGGAACUGAGAUACGGUCCAAACUUCUACGGAAGGCAGCAGUGGGGAAUUUUCUGCAAUGGACGAAAGUCUGACAGAGCAAUAUCACGUGAGGGAUUAAGGUCUAAGGAUUGUAAACCUCUUUUUUCAAGGAAGAAUUUCUGACGUUACUUGAAGAAUAAGCAUCGGCUAACUCUGUGCCAGCAGCCGCGGUAAUACAGGGGAUGCGAGUGUUAUCCGGAAUUAUUGGGCGUAAAGGGUCUGUA